AAACCAGCACCUCAAGUGGUCAGGAGGAUUAUUGGGCCUAAAGCAUCCGUAGCCUGUUCUGUAAGUUUUCGGUUAAAUCCAUUAGCUCAACUAAUGGGCCGCCGAAAAUACUGUAGAACUAGGGAGUGCGAGAGGUAGACGGUAUUCGGUAGGAAGGGGUAAAAUCCUUUGAUCUAUUGAGGACCACCUGUGGCGAAGGCGGUCUACCAGAACACGUUCGACGGUGAGGGAUGAAAGCUGGGGGAGCAAACCGGAUUAGAAACCCCGGUAGUCC
This 274-nucleotide ribosomal RNA is filed under the name uncultured bacterium. RNAcentral's name for it is "partial 16S ribosomal RNA". It matches the Rfam family "Archaeal small subunit ribosomal RNA", at positions 473 to 747 of the family's 1478-position model. The record is from RNAcentral.